RNAcentral lists this ribosomal RNA (310 nucleotides) under uncultured bacterium. Its description in RNAcentral is "partial 16S ribosomal RNA". It matches the Rfam family "Bacterial small subunit ribosomal RNA", at positions 503 to 807 of the family's 1533-position model. The record is from RNAcentral.
AAGAGACAGCAGCCGCCACGGUAAAACGUAGGUGGCAAGCGUUGUCCGGAAUUAUUGGGCGUAAAGGGCUCGCAGGCGGUUUCUUAAGUCUGAUGUGAAAGCCCCCGGCUCAACCGGGGAGGGUCAUUGGAAACUGGGAAACUUGAGUGCAGAAGAGGAGAGUGGAAUUCCACGUGUAGCGGCGAAAUGCGUAGAGAUGUGGAGGAACACCAGUGGCGAAGGCGACUCUCUGGUCUGUAACUGACGCUGAGGAGCGAAAGCGUGGGGAGCGAACAGGAUUAGAUACCCCCGUAGUCCCUGUCUCUUAUAC